AUACGGAGGAUCCGAGCGUUAUCCGGAUUUAUUGGGUUUAAAGGGUGCGCAGGCGGCCAUUUAAGUCAGCGGUUAAAUCGUGGGGCUCAACCCCAUUCUGCCGUUGAUACUGGGUGGCUUGAUUGCGGUCGAGGUUGGCGGAAUUCGUUGUGUAGCGGUGAAAUGCAUAGAUAUGACGAAGAACACCGAUUGCGUAGGCAGCUGACCAGACCGCAAAUGACGCUCAUGCACUAAAGUGCGAGUAGCGAACGGGAUUAGAUACCCUGGUAGUCCGCAUAGUAAACGAUGAAUAAUUGUUUUCGGCGAUAUAAUGUCGGAGGCAAAGCGAAAGCGAUAAGUAUUCCACCUGGGGAGUACUCCGGCAACGGUGAAACUCAAAUGAAUUGACGGGG
RNAcentral lists this ribosomal RNA (392 nucleotides) under uncultured bacterium. Its description in RNAcentral is "partial 16S ribosomal RNA". It matches the Rfam family "Bacterial small subunit ribosomal RNA", at positions 523 to 918 of the family's 1533-position model. The record is from RNAcentral.